Non-coding RNA from Kushneria sp., 90 nucleotides. The record is from Rfam. NCBI's taxonomy places the organism in Bacteria, Pseudomonadati, Pseudomonadota, Gammaproteobacteria, Oceanospirillales, Halomonadaceae.
CGCGAUAAAACGUGAACCCACACACGCAUCGACACAUGGUCCCGGGUGCCGCCAAUGCGGUCGGACCCAUGGGAUGCGUGGAGGCCUAAC